RNAcentral lists this ribosomal RNA (439 nucleotides) under uncultured Methyloligella sp. Its description in RNAcentral is "bacterial SSU rRNA". It matches the Rfam family "Bacterial small subunit ribosomal RNA", at positions 338 to 794 of the family's 1533-position model. The record is from RNAcentral. Lineage: Bacteria; Pseudomonadati; Pseudomonadota; Alphaproteobacteria; Hyphomicrobiales; Hyphomicrobiaceae.
CCUACGGGAGGCUGCAGUGGGGAAUAUUGCACAAUGGGCGCAAGCCUGAUGCAGCCAUGCCGCGUGAGUGAAGAAGGCCUUAGGGUUGUAAAGCUCUUUCGCCGGUGAAGAUAAUGACGGUAGCCGGAGAAGAAGCCCCGGCCAACUCCGUGCCAGCAGCCGCGGUAAUACGGAGGGGGCUAGCGUUGUUCGGAAUUACUGGGCGUAAAGCGCGCGUAGGCGGGCUGGUAAGUUGGGGGUGAAAUCCCGAGGCUCAACCUCGGAACUGCCCUCAAAACUGCCAAUCUUGAGUCCGGGAGAGGUGAGUGGAAUUCCUAGUGUAGAGGUGAAAUUCGUAGAUAUUAGGAAGAACACCAGUGGCGAAGGCGGCUCACUGGCCCGAGACUGACGCUGAGGCGCGAAAGCGUGGGGAGCAAACAGGAUUAGAUACCCUUGUAGU